UACGAAGGGGGCUAGCGUUGUUCGGAAUCACUGGGCGUAAAGGGCGCGUAGGCGGCUUUGUAAGUCGGGGGGGGAAAGCCUGUGGCUCAACCACAGAAUUGCCUUCGAUACUGCAUGGCUUGAGACCGGAAGAGGUUAGUGGAACUGCGAGUGUAGAGGUGAAAUUCGUAGAUAUUCGCAAGAACACCAGUGGCGAAGGCGGCUGACUGGUCCGGAUCUGACGCUGAGGCGCGAAAGCGUGGGGAGCAAACAGG
Molecule: ribosomal RNA, 254 nt
Filed under: uncultured bacterium
Lineage: Bacteria
Description: partial 16S ribosomal RNA
Rfam family: Bacterial small subunit ribosomal RNA
Source: RNAcentral